RNAcentral lists this transfer RNA (71 nucleotides) under Nicator chloris. RNAcentral describes it as "tRNA-Glu". It matches the Rfam family "tRNA". Rfam says of the family: Transfer RNA (tRNA) molecules are approximately 80 nucleotides in length. Their secondary structure includes four short double-helical elements and three loops (D, anti-codon, and T loops). Lineage: Eukaryota; Metazoa; Chordata; Aves; Passeriformes; Pycnonotidae. The record is from RNAcentral.
GUUCUUGUAGUUAAAGUUUUUAACGAUGGUUUUUCAGGCCAUAGAUCUCGGGUAGGAGCCGAGCAAGAAUA